GGAAAAAGGAAGUGGAGGAUAAGGGUGACGUUGACCUUCUAGGCUUCUACGCCAAGUGGACGCUGGACAUCGUCACAAAGCUAGAUGACAGAGACCUGAAAGCUGAAAGUGGACUUCCGCUCUCUCUGUUCCCAGGUUUCUUACUCACAGAAGAAGCGUGGUGGAGAUCCCAGGUAUCAAUCAGCUUCUGCCUCCAAGCAGCCAAAAACAACGCCUUUCAUUUUACAAUAAAGAGAGUGGAAAAACACCCACGAUACAAAACUGCCUGGCAGCUAUUAUAUCACUGCUAUCUACCUUUUUCUGUUAUUAUUAUUAUCAUUAUUGUUGUUGCUUUUUGUUUAUCCAAUUCCAAUCCGUCUACCACUUUAAAAACUCUGCUUCUCUUGUGAAAUGGGAUGUACUGGAUCCUCACGGGCCAAGGGAGAUUGUAAUUUGUCACCGAUUCUUUAAUGGGUUCCCUUUGUUAUCCUUUUCUUUGAUCGAGUUCUUGUUUUGUUUAGUGUUCUCAAUCGGUUGUAUGUGUUAAAUUGAACUUUCUUGAUAUUUGCGACCUCUUUAUAUAACUUCUUUCUUUUCUAUGCUACUGGCAGAUUGAGUGUUGAUUGGCGGUGAACAUUCAGUGGUGGUUAAUAGAUUGUUUUGAGUUCUGUAGAAUACAUUUCAAUUAUUUCAAGGUUGAUUUCUUAUUCAACGAAUCUACCUGGAGUUGUCGCCACUUCUCUUUAAGCUUGACGCUUAAUUUGAGACCAGCUCCAGACAGUUCGAACUUUUGUGAUUUUGAUUAUGAAGUUAUGAUUGCAUUUGUUGGUUUUCAUUGCCUUGGAAAAUUUGCAGGGAGAAGAGAUGAAUUAAUGAAAUGCUUGAUGCCUAAGCUUGCCUAACAUUUUAUAAAAUUGUGAGUAACUCAUAAAGUUCUUUUUAAGUUAUCACACCUGCAUAGUGGCAGUUCUUCAGUGUGCAACUGCAGAAGAUAAAGCAACACGCAUCACAAUUACUUUAAAUCAUUGAUGUUGUCAAAAUGCAUAAAGUGCACAGUAUGAAAAUAAUUUAGGUUAGCUGGGAUGAGUAAUGCAAGUUAAUGAAUUAAUUAGAAUGGGUUCAUUUUAAACUUUUAUGGCAUUGCUCUUUCUGUAAUGCCUAUACAUCCCAUAAUCUGCUUAUGUUUGUUGCGUGCAUCAGAUUUUUUUUAUUUUUCACAUUGUUUAUAGGGCCCUAGUGUUUUUUCACUGAAUGUUGUACAUUAGUUUUUUUAAAACUCAUGGAGUUUACUAGUAGCUGAAACCUAGUCGACUUUAAUGAAUUAUUUGUUGCUCAUCCAUGCCUGCAGAGCAUGCUAAGAAAAUCUGGAAGCCCAAACCUUGGAAGCAUUCUAAGCCAAUCACAAGGACACAACUCCA
RNAcentral lists this unclassified non-coding RNA (1397 nucleotides) under Hevea brasiliensis (rubber tree). The record is from RNAcentral. Lineage: Eukaryota; Viridiplantae; Streptophyta; Magnoliopsida; Malpighiales; Euphorbiaceae.